GGGAGGUAAUGUCUGGGAAACGUCUCGAUGGAGGGGGAUAACUACUGGAAACGGUAGCUAAUACCGCAUAACGUCGCAAGACCAAAGAGGGGGACCUUCGGGCCUCUUGCCAUCGGAUGUGCCCAGAUGGGAUUAGCUAGUAGGUGGGGUAACGGCUCACCUAGGCGACGAUCCCUAGCUGGUCUGAGAGGAUGGCCAGCCACACUGGAACUGAGACACGGUCCAG
RNAcentral lists this ribosomal RNA (226 nucleotides) under uncultured bacterium. RNAcentral's name for it is "partial 16S ribosomal RNA". It matches the Rfam family "Bacterial small subunit ribosomal RNA", at positions 104 to 334 of the family's 1533-position model. The record is from RNAcentral.